UCCCUUAUAGCUUAAGGGCAAAGCGCUUGAUUUGUAAUCAAGAAACAAAGGUUCAACUCCUUUUAGGGGAA
RNAcentral lists this transfer RNA (71 nucleotides) under Candidatus Hodgkinia cicadicola. RNAcentral describes it as "tRNA-Thr". It matches the Rfam family "tRNA". Rfam says of the family: Transfer RNA (tRNA) molecules are approximately 80 nucleotides in length. Their secondary structure includes four short double-helical elements and three loops (D, anti-codon, and T loops). Lineage: Bacteria; Pseudomonadati; Pseudomonadota; Alphaproteobacteria; Hyphomicrobiales. The record is from RNAcentral.